This 305-nucleotide ribosomal RNA is filed under the name uncultured bacterium. RNAcentral describes it as "partial 16S ribosomal RNA". It matches the Rfam family "Bacterial small subunit ribosomal RNA", at positions 508 to 807 of the family's 1533-position model. The record is from RNAcentral.
ACAGCAGUCGCCGCGGGAAUACGAAGGGGGCUAGCGUUGCUCGGAAUGACUGGGCGUAAAGGGCGCGUAGGCGGCGUGCACAGUCAGAUGUGAAAUUCCUGGGCUUAACCUGGGGGCUGCAUUUGAUACGUGUGUGCUAGAGUGUGAAAGAGGGUCGUGGAAUUCCCAGUGUAGAGGUGAAAUUCGUAGAUAUUGGGAAGAACACCGGUGGCGAAGGCGGCGACCUGGUUCAUUACUGACGCUGAGGCGCGAAAGCGUGGGGAGCAAACAGGAUUAGAUACCCCGGUAGUCCCUGUCUCUUAUAC